AUCCUUUUUGGUUCAUAAGCUUGAUGAUCGGGUGUUCACGCUGCCCUGUGAGACGUGCCUCCCUCUGAACCUUGCUACGAUGUCGGCACCUUACCUUUCUGACA
Molecule: non-coding RNA, 104 nt
Organism: Ictidomys tridecemlineatus (thirteen-lined ground squirrel)
Lineage: Eukaryota; Metazoa; Chordata; Mammalia; Rodentia; Sciuridae
Source: Rfam